Molecule: ribosomal RNA, 253 nt
Filed under: uncultured bacterium
Lineage: Bacteria
Description: partial 16S ribosomal RNA
Rfam family: Bacterial small subunit ribosomal RNA
Source: RNAcentral
GACGUACCGUGCGAACGUUGUUCGGAAUCACUGGGCUUAAAGGGCGCGUAGGCGGUCGGGCAAGUCGAAGGUGAAAUCCCACAGCUUAACUGUGGAAGCGCCCCCGAUACUGCUCGUCUGGAGGGCGAUAGGGGCGUGCGGAACUUCCGGUGGAGCGGUGAAAUGCGUAGAUAUCGGAAGGAACACCGGUGGCGAAAGCGGCGCGCUGGAUCUCUUCUGACGCUGAGGCGCGAAAGCCAGGGGAGCAAACGGG